UACGUAGGAGGCAAGCGUUGUCCGGAAUUACUGGGCGUAAAGCGCGUGUAGGUGGUGGGACAAGUCUGCUGUGAAAGCGCCUGGCUUAACCGGGCGAGGUCGGCGGAAACUGUCACACUUGAGGACGGUAGAGGGGGGUGGAAUUCCUGGUGUAGAGGUGAAAUUCGUAGAUAUCAGGAGGAACACCAGUGGCGAAGGCGGCUUCCUGGACACCAACUGACGCUGAGACGCGAAAGCGUGGGGAGCAAACAGG
Molecule: ribosomal RNA, 253 nt
Filed under: uncultured bacterium
Lineage: Bacteria
Description: partial 16S ribosomal RNA
Rfam family: Bacterial small subunit ribosomal RNA
Source: RNAcentral